UUCCUACGGGAGGCAGCAGUGGGGAAUAUUGCACAAUGGGGGAAACCCUGAUGCAGCAACGCCGCGUGAGUGAAGAAGUCAUUCGUGAUGUAAAGCUCUAUCAGCAGGGAAGAAGCAAGACGGUACCUGACUAAGAAGCCCCGGCUAACUACGUGCCAGCAGCCGCGGUAAUACGUAGGGGGCGAGCGUUAUCCGGAUUCACUGGGUGUAAAGGGAGCGUAGACGGCCAUGCAAGCCAGGGGUGAAAGCCCGGGGCCCAACCCCGGGACUGCCCUUGGAACUGUGCGGCUAGAGUGCGGGAGGGG
This 305-nucleotide ribosomal RNA is filed under the name uncultured bacterium. Its description in RNAcentral is "bacterial SSU rRNA". It matches the Rfam family "Bacterial small subunit ribosomal RNA", at positions 336 to 657 of the family's 1533-position model. The record is from RNAcentral.